UACAGAGGAUGCAAGCGUUUAUCCGGAAUUAUUGGGCGUAAAGCGCACGUAGGCGGCUUUGCAAGUCCCAUGUGAAAUCCCACGGCUUAACCGUGGAAGUGCAUGGGAAACUGCAGAGCUUGAGUACUUAAGAGGAUCGCGGAAUUCCCGGUGUAGAGGUGAAAUUCGUAGAUAUCGGGAGGAACACCAGUGGCGAAGGCGGCGAUCUGGGAAGAUACUGACGCUGAGGUGCGAAAGCUAGGGUAGCAAACGGG
RNAcentral lists this ribosomal RNA (254 nucleotides) under uncultured bacterium. RNAcentral's name for it is "partial 16S ribosomal RNA". It matches the Rfam family "Bacterial small subunit ribosomal RNA", at positions 524 to 776 of the family's 1533-position model. The record is from RNAcentral.